GAUGAACGCUGGCGGCGUGCCUAAUACAUGCAAGUCGAGCGAACGGACGAGAAGCUUGCUUCUCUGAUGUUAGCGGCGGACGGGUGAGUAACACGUGGAUAACCUACCUAUAAGACUGGGAUAACUUCGGGAAACCGUAGCUAAUACCGGAUAAUAUUUUGAACCGCAUGGUUCAAAAGUGAAAGACGGUCUUGCUGUCACUUAUAGAUGGAUCCGCGCUGCACUAGCUAGUUGGUAAGGUAACGGCUUACUAAGGCAACGAUGCAUAGCCGACCUGAGAGGGUGAUCGGCCACACUGGAACUGAGACACGGUCCAGACUCCUACGGGAGGCAGCAGUAGGGAAUCUUCCGCAAUGGGCGAAAGCCUGACGGAGCAACGCCGCGUGAGUGAUGAAGGUCUUCGGAUCGUAAAACUCUGUUAUUAGGGAAGAACAUAUGUGUAAGUAACUGUGCACAUCUUGACGGUACCUAAUCAGAAAGCCACGGCUAACUACGUG
This 497-nucleotide ribosomal RNA is filed under the name uncultured bacterium. Its description in RNAcentral is "partial 16S ribosomal RNA". It matches the Rfam family "Bacterial small subunit ribosomal RNA", at positions 28 to 507 of the family's 1533-position model. The record is from RNAcentral.